Long non-coding RNA from Rhopalosiphum maidis (corn leaf aphid), 777 nucleotides. RefSeq lists it as uncharacterized. The record is from RefSeq and is a predicted model, not a curated record. The transcript has 3 exons. NCBI's taxonomy places the organism in Eukaryota, Metazoa, Arthropoda, Insecta, Hemiptera, Aphididae.
AGUCCCAAAUUGUUUUAUAAAGUUUUACACAAGUUGUGUGCUGAUAAAUCCAAAUCGAUAUUUUUCACAAGAAUAAAAUAUGUUGUUUCGUUAAUUAAAAUAAAAAAAGUUUUUAUAAAUUUAAAUCGAAAAAUUUGUCCAUUUUAAUGUUGUAUACCUAAAAGCCCACAUAUACAUACGUAUUUUAUAAGAUGUUUACUGAAUACAAUUUUUCGAUUAUGUUCAUUAUUAUUAUGCGAGGAGAUAAGGUAUACGUGAAGCUACGAUGAAUAUAUGACUUUUUUACAAAUUCAAAUUUGAAUUUAUAAAAAUUGUUGGACACAACAAGUGUAACUCCAAAAAAAACUGCUAGACAUAAUUCAUUAUUUGAGACACAACUCGUUUGCAGCCGUUACUAUUUACCAGCAAGCCGCUAAUGCAUUAUAUUUAAGUGGUUUAAUUUCAUGAAUUGCGCGUGAUAUCAUUAUAUAUGUCUGGAAAUCAUGCCGUCGCCUUGGAUACGCGAGAGUAUACCGAGUAAAGAUUAAAGCUGUUACAUAAUGAAAGAAAUGGUUUGUGAAAAAUUGUUAAGUAAAUGAAAAAUAAACCCAAGUCAAUCUACGCUAAAACAUUCAUUGAAUAAUGUAUAAGUUGGGUAAAAUAAAUGUUUAUAUUUUAUUCAUUCAACAAAAGGAGUAUAAUAUAUUAUGUGCAAUAUUCAGUUGAUGUUUAUAAAUAUAGAAUAUAUAGAAUUCCAUUAGCCCUAACGUUGUAGGUAUAUAACAAGUGAAUACUCAA